Molecule: ribosomal RNA, 442 nt
Filed under: uncultured bacterium
Lineage: Bacteria
Description: partial 16S ribosomal RNA
Rfam family: Bacterial small subunit ribosomal RNA
Source: RNAcentral
GAUGAACGCUGGCGGCAUGCCUAACACAUGCAAGUCGAUCGGUAAGGCUCUUCGGAGUACACGAGAGGCGGACGGCUGAGUAAUGCGUAGGAACACACCCUGCAGUGAGGGAUAAGACACCGAAAGGUGUUCUAAUACCGCAUACGGUCUUCGGAUUAAAGCAUUUAUGCGCUGAAGGAGUGGCCUGCGUCAUAUUAGAUAGUUGGUGAGGUAAUGGCUCACCAAGUCGAUGAUGUGUAGCUGGUCUGAGAGGAUGAUCAGCCAGACUGGAACUGAGACACGGUCCAGACUCCUACGGGAGGCAGCAGUGAGGAAUAUUUCACAAUGAGCGAAAGCUUGAUGGAGCAAUGCCGCGUGCAGGAUGAAGGCCCUCGGGUUGUAAACUGCUUUUAUAAGAGAAGAUUAUGACGGUAACUUAUGAAUAAGGGACGGCUAACUACGU